Molecule: long non-coding RNA, 952 nt
Filed under: Homo sapiens (human)
Lineage: Eukaryota; Metazoa; Chordata; Mammalia; Primates; Hominidae
Description: non-protein coding PURPL:43
Source: RNAcentral
AAUGUGUGAGGUGGUGCUAUGUAGCAGGAACCCCUCUUGCUUUGCAAAUAGUUUUUUGUUUGUUUUCCUUUUUGCCCAAUAGAGCCCUGCUCUACUGACCCUUCAAUGUGCCCGUGUGCCUAAAUAUUCCUGGUCGUGUGAAAAGAACCCAGGUAUUAGCUGAACUAAGGAGCACAAUUCUGCAACAUUUUGGCACCCAAACACGGGGCUUGAGAAAUGAAUGCAAUUGGAGAAACUGGUUGUUUUACCAGGCGUUGAUUGGAAAUGUGUGCUUCCCUUUAAGCAGUCAAGCUCAACUUGCAGAACUGAUGGGAACCCCUUGGGAAAACUGGCCUCAAAUGUUUGUCUACACAGUCCACAUACAGGGUUCUUAACCUGCGAUGAGGGAAACUUCCCAGGGCUUGUCUGGGUAUGCCCACAGUGGACUGGAGCCCAAAAUGCACACUGGAGGAAGUGGAUGGAGCCACGUGGAUGUCAUGCCUUAUGCAGGGGAGGAGCCUGCUCUCUUCAGCUCCUGUGGUAAUGUGGGAAUCGAUCUGUGAGGAAACACUUUCUGAAAAUGUCAGAACUCUUGAAAACAUGGAUGAGGAAAAGCAUAAGUACUGCUUUAUGCUUUUCUUAUGAAUUUUAAAAGAUGUAAUUUAAAGAUUGAAACUCCCACAACUUUGGCAGACCAACUCCUCAGAAAACAUUAUUCUUUGACAUCAAUAUGUUUUGCACAAAAUUGAAUGGCAAGUGAAAGGCAUCAAAUGGAGCUGUCAUUUAAAUGUGCUUGCCAACUAGCUUGUUUAUCAAAACAUUCCAGACCCUUUCAAAUUCUCAUUUACAUUGUUUCUUGUUUACCACACCCAUAAAUUUGUAUUACCAGCAUAUUUAACUAUCCGGCUAUUUUGGAGAUUGAAAAAAGAAGACCUGAUUUAUCAUGUGCAAUAUCUCACACAUCUGUCAUUUC